Molecule: unclassified non-coding RNA, 168 nt
Filed under: uncultured fungus
Lineage: Eukaryota; Fungi
Description: sequence contains ITS1, 5.8S rRNA gene
Source: RNAcentral
AUGAAUUCAAGUGGCCUAUCAGCCGUGCAAACGGACGGUCUACUUUUCAUUCUCACACACUGUGCACAUGAAGCCUUUAAAAACAUAUUAAUACCAUGUUUUUGAUACUUUUAACACUUGUAUAUGUCAAAGUCCUUUGAUGUAACCACAUUUUGAUAAAUGAAAGAA